UACGUAGGGUGCGAGCGUUAAUCGGAAUUACUGGGCGUAAAGCGUGCGCAGGCGGUUGGUUGUGUCUGAUGUGAAAGCCCCGGGCUCAACCUGGGAAUGGCAUUGGAAACUGGCCAGCUGGAGUGUGGCAGAGGGGGGUGGAAUUCCGCGUGUAGCAGUGAGAUGCGUAGAGAUGCGGAGGAACACCGAUGGCGAAGACAGCCCCCUGGGCCAACACUGACGCUCAGGCACGAAAGCGUGGGGAGCAAACAGG
RNAcentral lists this ribosomal RNA (253 nucleotides) under uncultured bacterium. RNAcentral describes it as "partial 16S ribosomal RNA". It matches the Rfam family "Bacterial small subunit ribosomal RNA", at positions 524 to 776 of the family's 1533-position model. The record is from RNAcentral.